UUUCCGUAGGUGAACCUGCGGAAGGAUCAUUGUCGAAUCCUGCAAAAGCAAACCGCGAACACGUUAAACCACAUUGGGAUCUUGGGUAGGGGCAACCCCAACCCUUGUUCCCCUCCCGCAGCGUGUGCUGUGGCUAACGAACCCCGGCGCGGCAUGCGCCAAGGAAAACUCAUAGAAGCAUCCGCCUCCCGUCGGCCCGUUUGCGGUGCGCGGUGGGGGGUGUCUCUCAAUGUCAUAACGACUCUCGGCAACGGAUAUCUCGGCUCUCGCAUCGAUGAAGAACGUAGCGAAAUGCGAUACUUGGUGUGAAUUGCAGAAUCCCGUGAACCAUCGAGUCUUUGAACGCAAGUUGCGCCCGAAGCCUUUCGGCCGAGGGCACGCCUGCCUGGGCGUCACGCAUCGCGUCGUCCCCCCUCCCAUUCGCCGGACAUUGGCCCCCCAUGUGCAGUGCCUCGUGGCCGGCCUAAAUGCGAACCCGUGGCGACUCACGUCACGACCAGUGGUGGUUGAACACUCAACUCUCGUGCUGUCGUGCCGGGAGUAGCAUGUCGGGUAACUUGGUAGACCCAACGGAGCAACUGGUUGCGCCUUCGACCGCGACCCCAGGUCAGGCGGGAUUACCCGCUGAGUUUAA
This 634-nucleotide ribosomal RNA is filed under the name Esterhazya campestris. RNAcentral describes it as "eukaryotic LSU rRNA". The stretch from base 240 to 395 matches the Rfam family "5.8S ribosomal RNA". The record is from RNAcentral. Lineage: Eukaryota; Viridiplantae; Streptophyta; Magnoliopsida; Lamiales; Orobanchaceae.